UAAUACGGAGGGUGCGAGCGUUAAUCGGAAUCACUGGGCGUAAAGCGCACGUAGGCUGCUUGGUAAGUCAGGGGUGAAAGCCCGCGGCUCAACCGCGGAAUUGCCUUUGAUACUGCCGAGCUAGAGUCCGGGAGAGGGUAGUGGAAUUCCAGGUGUAGGAGUGAAAUCCGUAGAGAUCUGGAGGAACAUCAGUGGCGAAGGCGACUACCUGGACCGGUACUGACGCUGAGGUGCGAAAGCGUGGGGAGCAAACAGG
This 256-nucleotide ribosomal RNA is filed under the name uncultured bacterium. RNAcentral's name for it is "partial 16S ribosomal RNA". It matches the Rfam family "Bacterial small subunit ribosomal RNA", at positions 521 to 776 of the family's 1533-position model. The record is from RNAcentral.